RNAcentral lists this long non-coding RNA (3972 nucleotides) under Homo sapiens (human). RNAcentral's name for it is "non-protein coding lnc-LPP-2:2". The record is from RNAcentral. Lineage: Eukaryota; Metazoa; Chordata; Mammalia; Primates; Hominidae.
GGGAUCAUACAAUUGUAUUGUCUUCAAAACACACACACAUACACACACACACACACACACACACACACCCCUUCCAAGAAAGCUGAUCCUUCAGAAAAUAAAUCUUAUUUUUAAGCACUUGGGUUUUCAGGCCAGAAAAUUAAUAAAUCCUAAACCUGACCCAUUUUUGUAACAGCUAAAAAGGAGAAGAAAAAGCUAGUUAAAUUUUGUGUGGAUCCAUUUAUCUCUUAAAAUAUGCCAAAGCAAUUUGAGGUGGGGGUGGAAACAGGUAUUUAUCUCUCAUGCGUGAUUCUCUCUUUAUAUUUCUAUCUGUUGGGAAAAGGGUAAAGAACUAUUCUUGGUCAUUAUUGAUGUAUUGUGUUGCCACUUUGUAUGGUGCCUGCUGUGCUUUAUCCCGAGGCAUAGCAGUAAUCGUUACUAUCUUGACUCUUUCCUUCAUCACAAGAGAGUAAAUAUGAAGUCUGAAUGUCGUUCCUCACCCCCAAAUUGUUUAACUCUGCUUCCAAACUAGUUUAAGAAAUGCAAAAUGGGAAGAGCUAGCUUUUCUUAGAUACAUUUCUUCCUUUUUUAUUCUUUCUUGGGAGACGUUAAGUAUAAAAGGGAAAAAGUCAGUUCCUUCUUCUCUCUCUUUCUCUUUGGGUGACAGCAAUGCUCACUUAGUAAUUAUAAACUGGAAAUAGGAGAGUAGCUUGAGCAGGUUAUGAUAUAUCUGCCCAAUGUGUUUCAUUCCUUCAAACAUAAACUUUGAGAGUAAAAGAGAUUUUUAUAAUUUAAAUGCCAACGACAGGAAUGGCCUCAUGUUUUAACUUUCAAAUAAUAAAUGGGGAGUUGGUAUUUGGGCAGAGUUUGCAUUUUACUAAUCCUAUAUACUUUGAGCUUAGUUUUUAGAAUUGUGUCAAAUACAUCAACAUAUCAGGAUUAUAGUGCCAAAAAUAGUUAAAGUGCCUUGGUCCUCCCUCUGUAGGCAGCAAAUUGAAACUAACAUGGGACCAUGCCAUCCUUCUAGCAUAAUGGAGAAGUCUGAACUGAGGAGUAUCUUUGAUGAAAGACAUUUAGGACCCUAGAAACUAAAUCUUGUCACCAAGACUUUAUAGUAAAGUAGUAGCAAAAUUAUUUUUAAAAGACUUUCUUCCUUUUACUACCCAUUUCCUCUCUUGGGAAAGCUGAUGAGCAAAUUAUCCAAGACUCAUUUCUUUAUUAGGCAAAGUCAGAAUAUUUCCCCUCUGAAAAUCUGAAUUAUGCCCUCAUUCUUUUUCAAGAAAUAUCUCAAAGAGCAAAUAGAAUUAAACAUGACACUUGAUUGUCUGAUUAUUUGGCAUGUAUAAAAUUAUCAUGUGGCUUAAUGUGCCUUAAGUGAAAAUUUAAACUUAGACCUGAAACCUUUACAGUUGGAUGUAGCGUUGAGCUUUUGCAUGUUUUCUGUAUAAUAAACCACUUUUGUUUUGUUUGUUUUGUCUUUUAACCUACACCUUUAUCAUUACUCUAACAGAUUUAGGGCUUCUCUUUCUCUACAGCUAAGUAAGGGAAUAUGUGCAAUUAUGAGACAUACAAAAAAGGAAAGGGAAAGGACUUUCUAAGUAGCAAAUCUGUGCCAUGAAGUAGAUGUGGCGUGAAGAUACAGAGCCUGAGGAUAGUAAUUUUCCCUGAGCCACGCACACAGGCUUUUAUUUCAUGCCUUUUCUCUUUCUGUGCCGUCACCUUUGAGAAAAACGAUUGCACCUUCUCCAAGUCUGCCUUUUUAACAGCUACAGUUAAGUUGGCAAGACUUCCCCAGCUCUGAAUAUAGCCAUUUGCCGACUCCGGCCUCUUUGCGAGACUGACUCAAAUCUGUGAUCUUCUGUUCAGCAUACACAUCAGCAAAGUGAGAAGAUGAGCACUAAAUAUAGGCUCUAUUAACUUUACUUUUAGAUUUACUGCCUUCAAAAAGUGCCUAUUCUGAGCAACAUAAACGUUAUUCCUUACAUAUGUAUGUACACACGGUACCCAGAGUCGUACUGUGCAGCCUUCAAAAACAUACCAUCAGAAAGAGUAGGUGCUGAGAUAAGGAAACUUUGCCAAAUGAAAGAAAGUCACUCACUUCCAAUAUCCCCUCUCAAGCGGCUACCGUGAAACGGGCUGCAAACACAUUCCCUGAGCAUCCCUUGCUGAUACAGCUUCUUUAUAUUUAUAUCCUACUGGAUGGUAGCAUAUUGCUAAGGUUUCCUGUACUCUGCUUCAAGGGAAUGUAAGCUUUAUGGCAUUGAAACAUUUAGGGAAAAAAAAGAUGUUUAAGAGAAUUAAUAGAGCCGUAGUCUGUAUUAGGAUGUGUGUCAUAUGUGUGUUCUAUAAACUAAGCAUCGGUGGGUUUAGAGUGUUAAAGUGUCAGCACAUUCCUUCUCCUUUUGUCUCUCAGGCUAACAUGAGAGAAAAUAGAAAAGUCUUGGCUGUGGGGAUUGGAAGCUCAGGGGGCCAAAUGUCCUUGCCAGAUCCUUAGAGCAUUACUUUGACUCCUAAAAAUAGUAGUGUAUGUUAUUUGAUGGCUUUUGUUUCCAUAGUUCCAUCACUGACAAAACUGUCAAUACUGUUGAUGGAGCAGCAGCAUAGCCUAGAGUGAUGCAUUCUUACCCAGAGGUGGCAAUAGGAGAGGGUCCAUGUAAAUAGGACGAGGUAGACAGUGCAUGAUUGUAGGAGAAGGGUUGAAGGGAGGACAUGAUUCCAAAAAAGAUCGUUCUCAAUGUGUCGUCUGACUCAACCAGCUGGCAGAUUACACUUGCCAAGUCGUUCCCUUUCCUUCUAAGUCAGUUGGCUCCAUAUUCACUUGAAUAUGCCUCUGUUUGGGCAAAGCAAGAUACCUCCACUUAACCUUUAUCCAAGGAAGCUCUUGGUGUCCUCUUGGUCAUAAAGUUGUCUCCUACCUAACCCAGUUUUACCAAAUGGAAGUAAAAGGGGACAAACUAUGGAAGAUGGACUCCAUGCCAUUGCAGUCAGCCACCAUUCUCUUUUCCAUAUAAGGAGCCCCAUUACAUAAGCUACGGGUGAGGUUGGAACAGCUAUGUUUCAUAAUUUCAAGAGUGUGACCACCCUGCUCUAGUCAUCAUCAUUGGAUGAAUCCAGUUGACUCUUUGGCAAAAGGGUGAUACUUUUCACUAAAAAUGCCUACUCUUCCUGUUGAUGUUCCUUUUCUGUUUUUACCUUGUCCAAUUUCCACACUAGUCAUUUUUUUUAUUUUUUAGAGGAUCAGAUUUUAGCGCUGGAAAAUGAGUUCAAAAAUUUCAGUGUAAUGUCAUAAGGAUGUUGGGAUACAGAGAUUUUUUUUUUCCUUGGAAACAAAUGGACUGGGAAGAAACACAGCAUGGCUUUGCUCUGAGUUUCAAUCUGAUGAUUAUGACCAUGGAAGAUAGUCUUAUGUAAAGGUUAAAUGGUGUUUACAAGUGGAUAGAUAAGGCGGAGAUGGUGAGAAGCCGGGUUUUCUCUAUGCUAAAUGUGUCUACUAAGAGCAGCACUUCCUACUAGCUAAGCACAAUCAUAGCCCCACCGUGAUGAGCUGCUAGUCUGAAUAACAUUCCCUGACUUAGGGAAAGGCACACAAAAACAUAUAAAGAAUAUGUCUAUUUUCAUAUGUGUGAUACUGACAGAGCCAUGGUAUUCCUAAAAUAUAGGUUUCUCUUUUUUCUUGUAUUCUUAGCAAAUUGCAUUUAUUCACUACAUUACAAACCAUCACUGAUGUAUCCAAAAUAGCACACAUAGUUCAGUAUGAAAAUAAGAGAAUAAAAUCUGUUAUAAGCAAGUGAUUUAGGUAUUUUCUUUUGUGUUUAUGCAUUAUCUGACUAUAUUAAAACCUGUUUUUCUAUUUACCUUCUAUCAGUUUUCUCUACCAAUUAUGUUUUUUCAAUGCUCUAUAAGAAUGAAUAUGGAAAUUAUAUUUCUUUUUUCUGUAAAAGAGUUGCAACUACUUUAUUAUAUUUAGAAAUCCAAUAAACUUCUUAUUACAUU